CCUCCAAGGCUAAAUACUCCUGACUGACCGAUAGUGAACCAGUACCGUGAGGGAAAGGCGAAAAGAACCCCGGCGAGGGGAGUGAAAAAGAACCUGAAACCGUGUACGUACAAGCAGUGGGAGCACAGAGCAAUCUGUGUGACUGCGUACCUUUUGUAUAAUGGGUCAGCGACUUAUAUUCUGUAGCAAGGUUAACCGAAUAGGGGAGCCGAAGGGAAACCGAGUCUUAACUGGGCGUUAAGUUGCAGGGUAUAGACCCGAAACCCGGUGAUCUAGCCAUGGGCAGGUUGAAGGUUGGGUAACACUAACUGGAGGACCGAACCGACUAAUGUUGAAAAAUUAGCGGAUGACUUGUGGCUGGGGGUGAAAGGCCAAUCAAACCGGGAGAUAGCUGGUUCUCCCCGAAAGCUAUUUAGGUAGCGCCUCGUGAAUUCAUCUCCGGGGGUAGAGCACUGUUUCGGCAAGGGGGUCAUCCCGACUUACCAACCCGAUGCAAACUGCGAAUACCGGAGAAUGUUAUCACGGGAGACACACGGCGGGUGCUAACGUCCGUCGUGAAGAGGGAAACAACCCAGACCGCCAGCUAAGGUCCCAAAGUCAUGGUUAAGUGGGAAACGAUGUGGGAAGGCCCAGACAGCCAGGAUGUUGGCUUAGAAGCAGCCAUCAUUUAAAGAAAGCGUAAUAGCUCACUGGUCGAGUCGGCCUGCGCGGAAGAUGUAACGGGGCUAAACCAUGCACCGAAGCUGCGGCAGCGACGCUGAUGCGUUGUUGGGUAGGGGAGCGUUCUGUAAGCCUGUGAAGGUGUGCUGUGAGGCAUGCUGGAGGUAUCAGAAGUGCGAAUGCUGACAUAAGUAACGAUAAAGCGGGUGAAAAGCCCGCUCGCCGGAAGACCAAGGGUUCCUGUCCAACGUUAAUCGGGGCAGGGUGAGUCGACCCCUAAGGCGAGGCCGAAAGGCGUAGUCGAUGGGAAACAGGUUAAUAUUCCUGUACUUGGUGUUACUGCGAAGGGGGGACGGAGAAGGCUAUGUUGGCCGGGCGACGGUUGUCCCGGUUUAAGCGUGUAGGCUGGUUUUCCAGGCAAAUCCGGAAAACUAAGGCUGAGGCGUGAUGACGAGGCACUACGGUGCUGAAGCAACAAAUGCCCUGCUUCCAGGAAAAGCCUCUAAGCAUCAGGUAACAUCAAAUCGUACCCCAAACCGACACAGGUGGUCAGGUAGAGAAUACCAAGGCGCUUGAGAGAACUCGGGUGAAGGAACUAGGCAAAAUGGUGCCGUAACUUCGGGAGAAGGCACGCUGAUAUGUAGGUGAAGUCCCUCGCGGAUGGAGCUGAAAUCAGUCGAAGAUACCAGCUGGCUGCAACUGUUUAUUAAAAACACAGCACUGUGCAAACACGAAAGUGGACGUAUACGGUGUGACGCCUGCCCGGUGCCGGAAGGUUAAUUGAUGGGGUCAGCGCAAGCGAAGCUCUUGAUCGAAGCCCCGGUAAACGGCGGCCGUAACUAUAACGGUCCUAAGGUAGCGAAAUUCCUUGUCGGGUAAGUUCCGACCUGCACGAAUGGCGUAAUGAUGGCCAGGCUGUCUCCACCCGAGACUCAGUGAAAUUGAACUCGCUGUGAAGAUGCAGUGUACCCGCGGCAAGACGGAAAGACCCCGUGAACCUUUACUAUAGCUUGACACUGAACAUUGAGCCUUGAUGUGUAGGAUAGGUGGGAGGCUUUGAAGUGUGGACGCCAGUCUGCAUGGAGCCGACCUUGAAAUACCACCCUUUAAUGUUUGAUGUUCUAACGUUGACCCGUAAUCCGGGUUGCGGACAGUGUCUGGUGGGUAGUUUGACUGGGGCGGUCUCCUCCUAAAGAGUAACGGAGGAGCACGAAGGUUGGCUAAUCCUGGUCGGACAUCAGGAGGUUAGUGCAAUGGCAUAAGCCAGCUUGACUGCGAGCGUGACGGCGCGAGCAGGUGCGAAAGCAGGUCAUAGUGAUCCGGUGGUUCUGAAUGGAAGGGCCAUCGCUCAACGGAUAAAAGGUACUCCGGGGAUAACAGGCUGAUACCGCCCAAGAGUUCAUAUCGACGGCGGUGUUUGGCACCUCGAUGUCGGCUCAUCACAUCCUGGGGCUGAAGUAGGUCCCAAGGGUAUGGCUGUUCGCCAUUUAAAGUGGUACGCGAGCUGGGUUUAGAACGUCGUGAGACAGUUCGGUCCCUAUCUGCCGUGGGCGCUGGAGAACUGAGGGGGGCUGCUCCUAGUACGAGAGGACCGGAGUGGACGCAUCACUGGUGUUCGGGUUGUCAUGCCAAUGGCACUGCCCGGUAGCUAAAUGCGGAAGAGAUAAGUGCUGAAAGCAUCUAAGCACGAAACUUGCCCCGAGAUGAGUUCUCCCUGACUCCUUGAGAGUCCUGAAGGAACGUUGAAG
RNAcentral lists this ribosomal RNA (2408 nucleotides) under Escherichia coli. Its description in RNAcentral is "partial 23S ribosomal RNA". It matches the Rfam family "Bacterial large subunit ribosomal RNA", at positions 457 to 2843 of the family's 2925-position model. Lineage: Bacteria; Pseudomonadati; Pseudomonadota; Gammaproteobacteria; Enterobacterales; Enterobacteriaceae. The record is from RNAcentral.